AUUGUAGGCGUCAUCUCACGUGUCGGGGUGAUCUCCAACUUUUAGGCUCCAGAGAUCCUCCCGCAUCGGCCUCCCGGAGUGCUGUGAUGACACGCGUGGGCACGACGGAGUUUCACUCUUGUCGCCCAGGGUGGAGGACGAUGGCGGAUCUCGGCUCACCGCACCCUCCGCCUCCCAGGUUCAAGGGAUUCUCCUGCCUCAGCCUUCCCGAGUAGCUGCGAUGACAGCGAUGAGCCAUCGUGCCUGGCUAAUUUUUCUAUUCCUAGUACAGAUGGGGUUUCUCCAUCUUGGUUAGGCUGGUCUUCAACUUCCGACCGUUGGAGGAUCUUAACUUCCUUGGUGGUGGUUGCUUUUCUUUUUCUUUUUUUCUUUUCUUUUCUUUCCUUCUCCUUCCCCCCCCCCAACCCCCCUUGUCGUCGUCGUCGUCCUCCUCCUCCUCCUCCUCCUCCUCCUCCUCCUCCUCCUCUUUCAUUUCUUUCAGCUGGGCUCUCCUACUUGUGUUGCUCUGUUGCUCACGCUGGUCUCAAACUCCUGGCCUUGACACUUCUCGCGUCACAUCCGCCGUCUGCUUGUUGAAAUGAGCAUCUCUCGUAAAAUGGAAAAGAUGAAAGAGAUAAACACGAAGACGGAAA
Pan troglodytes (chimpanzee) is the source of this 632-nucleotide long non-coding RNA. RefSeq lists it as uncharacterized. The record is from RefSeq and is a predicted model, not a curated record. NCBI's taxonomy places the organism in Eukaryota, Metazoa, Chordata, Mammalia, Primates, Hominidae. The transcript has 2 exons.